AUACGGAGGGUGCAAGCGUUAAUCGGAAUUACUGGGCGUAAAGCGUACGUAGGCGGUCCGUUAAGUUAGAUGUGAAAGCCCCGGGCUUAACCUGGGAACUGCAUUUAAAACUGGCGGACUAGAGUUGAGUAGAGGGGAGUAGAAUUUCAGGUGUAGCGGUGAAAUGCGUAGAGAUCUGAAGGAACACCAGUGGCGAAGGCGACUCCCUGGACUCGAACUGACGCUGAGGUACGAAAGCGUGGGUAGCAAACGGGAUUAGAAACCCCGGUAGUCC
This 274-nucleotide ribosomal RNA is filed under the name uncultured bacterium. Its description in RNAcentral is "partial 16S ribosomal RNA". It matches the Rfam family "Bacterial small subunit ribosomal RNA", at positions 523 to 796 of the family's 1533-position model. The record is from RNAcentral.